CCUACGGGAGGCAGCAGUGGGGACUAUUGCACAAUGGGGGAAACCCUGAUGCAGCGACGCCGCGUGAGUGAAGAAGUAUUUCGGUAUGUAAAGCUCUAUCAGCAGGAACGAGACAAGACGGUACCUGACUAAGAAGCCCCGGCUAACUACGUGCCAGCAGCCGCGGUAAUACGUAGGGGGCAAGCGUUAUACGGAAUCACUGGGUGGAAAGGGAGCGUAGACGGCUGAGCAAGCCUGAAGUGAAAGGCGGGGGCCCAACCCCCGGACUGCUUUGGGAACUGUACGGCGGGAGUGCAGGAGAGGUAAGUGGAAUUCCUAGUGUAGCGGUGAAAUGCGUAGAUAUUAGGAGGAACACCAGUGGCGAAGGCGAUUUGCUGGACUGUAACUGACACUGAGGCACGAAAGCGUGGGGAGCAAACAGGAUUAGAGACCCGAGUAGUC
Molecule: ribosomal RNA, 441 nt
Filed under: uncultured bacterium
Lineage: Bacteria
Description: partial 16S ribosomal RNA
Rfam family: Bacterial small subunit ribosomal RNA
Source: RNAcentral